Molecule: ribosomal RNA, 236 nt
Filed under: uncultured Actinomycetales bacterium
Lineage: Bacteria; Bacillati; Actinomycetota; Actinomycetes; Actinomycetales
Description: partial 16S ribosomal RNA
Rfam family: Bacterial small subunit ribosomal RNA
Source: RNAcentral
UGGCGAACGGGUGAGUAACACGUGGGUAAUCUGCCCUGCACUCUGGGAUAAGCCUUGGAAACUGGGUCUAAUACUGGAUAUGACCUUUCUCCUUAUGGGGUUUGGUGGAAAGUUUUUCGGUGUAGGAUGAGCCCGCGGCCUAUCAGCUUGUUGGUGGGGUGAUGGCCUACCAAGGCGACGACGGGUAGCCGGCCUGAGAGGGUGAUCGGCCACAUUGGGACUGAGAUACGGCCCAG